This 435-nucleotide ribosomal RNA is filed under the name uncultured bacterium. RNAcentral describes it as "partial 16S ribosomal RNA". It matches the Rfam family "Bacterial small subunit ribosomal RNA", at positions 28 to 507 of the family's 1533-position model. The record is from RNAcentral.
GAUGAACGCUGGCGGUAUGCUUAACACAUGCAAGUCGAACGGACUCUUCGGAGUUAGUGGCGGACGGGUGAGUAACGCGUGAGAAUCUGGCUUUGGGUUCGGGACAACCACUGGAAACGGUGGCUAAUACCGGAUGUGCCGAGAGGUAAAAGAGAAAUUGCCUGAAGAUGAGCUCGCGUCUGAUUAGCUAGUUGGUGAGGUAAAGGCUCACCAAGGCAGCGAUCAGUAGCUGGUCUGAGAGGAUGACCAGCCACACUGGGACUGAGACACGGCCCAGACUCCUACGGGAGGCAGCAGUGGGGAAUUUUCCGCAAUGGGCGAAAGCCUGACGGAGCAAUACCGCGUGAGGGAAGAAGGCUCUUGAGUUGUAAACCUCUUUUCUUAGGGAAGAACAAAAUGACGGUACCUAAGGAAUCAGCAUCGGCUAACUCCGUG